UACGGGGGGGGCAAGCGUUGUUCGGAAUUACUGGGCGUAAAGGGCUCGUAGGCGGCCUACUAAGUCAGACGUGAAAUCCCCAGGCUCAACCUGGGAACUGCGUCUGAUACUGGAUGGCUUGAAUUCGGGAGAGGGAUGCAGAAUUCCAGGUGUAGCGGUGAAAUGCGUAGAUAUCUGGAGGAAUACCGGUGGCGAAGGCGGCAUCCUGGACCGACAUUGACGCUGAUGAGCGAAAGCUAAGGGAGCAAACGGG
This 253-nucleotide ribosomal RNA is filed under the name uncultured bacterium. RNAcentral describes it as "partial 16S ribosomal RNA". It matches the Rfam family "Bacterial small subunit ribosomal RNA", at positions 524 to 776 of the family's 1533-position model. The record is from RNAcentral.